UCCGGAUUGGUGUAGUGGUCAACAUCUCCGUCUCUCAUCUAAUUGAAACACGGAAGCCCCUGGUUCAAUUCCUGGAUCCGGAA
This 83-nucleotide transfer RNA is filed under the name Capronia epimyces CBS 606.96. It matches the Rfam family "tRNA". From Rfam's summary of the family: Transfer RNA (tRNA) molecules are approximately 80 nucleotides in length. The record is from Rfam by way of RNAcentral. Lineage: Eukaryota; Fungi; Ascomycota; Eurotiomycetes; Chaetothyriales; Herpotrichiellaceae.